Molecule: non-coding RNA, 71 nt
Organism: Phrynosoma platyrhinos (Desert horned lizard)
Lineage: Eukaryota; Metazoa; Chordata; Lepidosauria; Squamata; Phrynosomatidae
Source: the annotation of a GenBank genome assembly
GCCAGGGUGGUGUAAUGGUUCAGCUUUGGACUACGAUUCUGGAGAUUAGGGUUCGAGUCUCUGCUUGGCCA